Molecule: ribosomal RNA, 379 nt
Filed under: uncultured bacterium
Lineage: Bacteria
Description: bacterial SSU rRNA
Rfam family: Bacterial small subunit ribosomal RNA
Source: RNAcentral
UAAUACGUAGGUGGCAAGCGUUGUCCGGAAUUAUUGGGCGUAAAGCGCGCGCAGGCGGCUUCUUAAGUCUGAUGUGAAAUCUUGCGGCUCAACCGCAAGCGGUCAUUGGAAACUGGGGGGCUUGAGUGCAGAAGAGGAGAGUGGAAUUCCACGUGUAGCGGUGAAAUGCGUAGAGAUGUGGAGGAACACCAGUGGCGAAGGCGGCUCUCUGGUCUGUAACUGACGCUGAGGCGCGAAAGCGUGGGGAGCAAACAGGAUUAGAUACCCUGGUAGUCCACGCCGUAAACGAUGAGUGCUAAGUGUUAGAGGGUUUCCGCCCUUUAGUGCUGCAGCUAACGCAUUAAGCACUCCGCCUGGGGAGUACGGCCGCAAGGCUGAA